AUUGAACGCUGGCGGCAGGCCUAACACAUGCAAGUCGAGCGGAUGAAGGGAGCUUGCUCCUGGAUUCAGCGGCGGACGGGUGAGUAAUGCCUAGGAAUCUGCCUGGCAGUGGGGGAUAACGUCAGGAAACGGGCGCUAAUACCGCAUACGUCCUGAGGGAGAAAGUGGGGGAUCUUCGGACCUCACGCUAUCAGAUGAGCCUAGGUCGGAUUAGCUAGUUGGUAGGGUAAAGGCCUACCAAGGCGACGAUCCGUAACUGGUCUGAGAGGAUGAUCAGUCACACUGGAACUGAGACACGGUCCAGACUCCUACGGGAGGCAGCAGUGGGGAAUAUUGGACAAUGGGCGAAAGCCUGAUCCAGCCAUGCCGCGUGUGUGAAGAAGGUCUUCGGAUUGUAAAGCACUUUUAGUUGGGAGGAAGGGAAGUAAGUUAAUACCUUGCUGUUUUGACGUUACCAACAGAAUAAGCACCGGCUAACUUCGUG
RNAcentral lists this ribosomal RNA (484 nucleotides) under uncultured bacterium. Its description in RNAcentral is "partial 16S ribosomal RNA". It matches the Rfam family "Bacterial small subunit ribosomal RNA", at positions 30 to 507 of the family's 1533-position model. The record is from RNAcentral.